Molecule: long non-coding RNA, 701 nt
Organism: Daphnia pulex (common water flea)
Lineage: Eukaryota; Metazoa; Arthropoda; Branchiopoda; Diplostraca; Daphniidae
Exons: 4
Source: RefSeq, a predicted model, not a curated record
CCGCUGCUGUUUGUAAUGGCGGCUGUUUCUCAGACAAACAUCGGUUAUGUUGAAGUUAGGAAAAGAAAUCGAAUUUCAGUGUUCGUUGAUGUGAUCCAAAUUUGUUUUGACUUCUCAGGUUUACAAUGAUCAAAUUUAUAUACUUCCAAUAACCGGAAUAACGUAAUUCCUACCGCAGUCGCCACAACAACCAACAGUUUGGACAUCGACUUUCAAUCAGCUGCCAGCAAUAAAUCUAACAGCGCCAUAUAUAAUUGGCAGUUGACUUUUUCUGUGACGAGCCAAGGGAGUUCUUGUUCCGUUUCUGAUUCAGCAGGAACCAACCACAUACCAGAUCUGCUGGAUGAAAGUCAAAUUAUGCCUUACUAUAUUCAUCACCCAUGUGAUAAAGCGUCAGGAAAUUUAUCUCAACUUGAGGAAUAAUGCUGUUGGUUGCUGUGAAUGCCAUUUUUACUGCUUUUUCAUCAUGAACAUUUCAGUGCGCUUCUUAGAAAAGAGCUCGCAAGAUCCCCAUCUAUGAGAAGAGUGACUUCCACCAAUGUCUUCUCCAUCCUUAUCUUCGCGAGGUCCGCUCAUCUAGCUUCACUGCUUUGUAUGAACUGCUACACAACUUGUCUUUCUUCAUUGAUGAGUUGGAUCACUUCAGUGUUCGCUUUCGCCCGCUGUGACACACCUGUAAUCAUUCACCACGGGAUUAUGCC